UUAUUUGAGGAUUUGAUCCUGGUCCAGGAUGAACGCUGGCGGCGUGGAUAAGGCAUGCAAGUCGAACGGUACAGUUGUGAUUACAUCAAGACUGUGCAGUGGCGAACGAGUUAGUAACACCUUGGUACGUACCUCGAAGUCGGGCAUAAUUCCGCGAAAGCGGAACUAAUUCCCGAUAGUCCCGCAAGGGUAAAGUCGCAAGACGCUUCGAGAUCGGCCUAGGCCCUAUCAGCUUGUUGGUGAGGUAAUGGCUCACCAAGGCUACGACGGGUAGGGGAGCUGAGAGGCUGUUCCCCAACGAGGAAACUGAGACACGGUUCCUACACCUACGGGUGGCAGCAGUCGAGAAUAUUCGACAAUGGACGAAAGUCUGAUCGAGCGACGCCGCGUGCAGGAUGAAGGCCUUAGGGUCGUAAACUGCUUUUCUAUAGGAGGAAGACGUAAGGUUUACUUUGCGUUUGACGGUACUGUAGGAAUAAGUAGCGGCAAACUUCGUGCCAGCAGCAGCGGUAAUACGAAGGCUACAAGCGUUAUCCGGAUUUAUUGGGCGUAAAGGGUGCGUAGGGGGCGCAGUAAGUUUUUGGUCAAAUCUCGGGGCUUAACCCCGAGCUCGCCAAGAAAACUACCGCGCUUGAGGGCGUUAGAGGCAAGCGGAACGAACGGUGUAGGGGUGAAAUCCGUUGAUAUCGUUCGGAACACCAAAGGCGAAGGCAGCUUGCUGGGACGUUCCUGACCCUGAGGCACGAAAGCGUGGGGAGCAAAAAGGAUUAGAUACCCUUGUAGUCCACGCCCUAAACGAUGUCGACUAGCCGUUUCGAGUAUCGACCCUCGGAGUGGCGUAGCUAACGCGUUAAGUCGACCGCCUGGGAAGUACGAGCGCAAGCUUAAAACUCAAAGGAAUAGACGGGGACUCGCACAAGCGGUGGAGCAUGUGGUUUAAUUCGAUGGUAAACGAGAAACCUCACCAGGGCUUGAAAUGUUUACGAAAACAGUUUGAAAAGAUUGUUGUCCGCAAGGACGUAAGCACAGGUGCUGCAUGGUUGCCGUCAGCAUGUGCCGUGAGGCGCUCCCUUCAAUGGGGUAACAUGCGCAACCCCUGCUUUGAGUUAUAUAUGUCUCAAGGAACUGCCGUCGUAUAGACGGAGGAAGGCGGGGACGACGUCAAAUCAGCAUGGCCCUCUGAUGCCCUGGGCUACACACAUGCUACAAUGGUCUGUUACAGCGGGUUGCCAAACCGUAAGGUGGAGCUAAUCCCUAGAAAACGGACCUCAGUUCAGAUUGCGGGCUGCAACUCGCCCGCAUGAAGUCGGAAUCGCUAGUAAUCGCGGAUCAGAAUGCCGCGGUGAAUACGUUCUCGAGUCCUGUACUCACCGCCCGUCAAGUCAAGGGAGCUGGGAUUACCUGAAGCUUCGUUUCACGGGGUCAGGGUGAACUCGGUGACAUGGACUAAGUCGUAACAAGGCACGGGUAGCGGAAGCUGUUCGUGGAUCAUGUAUAUU
RNAcentral lists this ribosomal RNA (1499 nucleotides) under Candidatus Jorgensenbacteria bacterium. RNAcentral's name for it is "bacterial SSU rRNA". It matches the Rfam family "Bacterial small subunit ribosomal RNA". The record is from RNAcentral. Lineage: Bacteria; Candidatus Joergenseniibacteriota.